RNAcentral lists this unclassified non-coding RNA (337 nucleotides) under uncultured fungus. RNAcentral describes it as "partial contains 5.8S ribosomal RNA, internal transcribed spacer 2, and large subunit ribosomal RNA". Lineage: Eukaryota; Fungi. The record is from RNAcentral.
AACGCAUAUUGUGCUCUCUGGUAUUCCGGAGAGCAUGCUUGUUUGAGUAUCAGUAAACACCUCAACUCCCUUUCUUCUUGAAAUGGAGCUGGACUUGAGUGAUCCCAACGCUUUAUUCAUAAAGUGGCGGGUUACUUGAAAUGCAGGUGCAUCUGGACUUUUCUCUGAGCUAUAAGCAUAUCUAUUUAGUCUGCCUCAAAAACAGAUUAUUACCUUUGCUGCAGCUAACAUAAAGGAGAUUAGUUCUUGUGCUGACUGAUGCAGGAUUCACAAAGACCGCUUCGGCUGUCUUUGUAAACUCGAUCUCAAAUCAAGUAAGACUACCCGCUGAACUUAA